Molecule: ribosomal RNA, 460 nt
Filed under: uncultured bacterium
Lineage: Bacteria
Description: partial 16S ribosomal RNA
Rfam family: Bacterial small subunit ribosomal RNA
Source: RNAcentral
CCUACGGGAGGCAGCAGUGAGGAAUAUUGGUCAAUGGGCGCGAGCCUGAACCAGCCAAGUCGCGUGAAGGAUGACUGCCCUACGGGUUGUAAACUUCUUUUAUAAAGGAAUAAAGUGAGGCACGUGUGCCUUUUUGUAUUUACUUUAUGAAUAAGAAUCGGCUAACUCCGUGCCAGCAGCCGCGGUACUACGGAGGAUCCGAGCGUUAUCCGGAUUUAUUGGGUUUAAAGGGAGCGUAGAUGGGUUGUUAAGUCAGUUGUGAAAGUUUGGGGCUCAACCGUAAAAUUGCAAUUGAUACUGGCAGCCUUGAGUACAGGUGAGGUAGGCGGAAUUCGUGGUGUAGCGGUGAAAUGCUUAGAUAUCACGAAGAACUCCGAUUGCGAAGGCAGCUUACUAGACUGCCACUGACAUUGAUGCGCGAAAGUGUGGGUAUCAAACAGGAUUAGAUACCCUUGUAGUC